CGUAGGUGGUUAAUUAAGUCAGCGGUGAAAGUUUGUGGCUCAACCAUAAAAUUAGCCGUUGAAACUGGUUGACUUGAGUAUAUUUGAGGUAGGCGGAAUGCGUGGUGUAGCGGUGAAAUGCAUAGAUAUCACGCAGAACUCCGAUUGCGAAGGCAGCUUACUAAACUAUAACUGACACUGAAGCACGAAAGCGUGGGAUCAAACAGG
Molecule: ribosomal RNA, 207 nt
Filed under: uncultured bacterium
Lineage: Bacteria
Description: partial 16S ribosomal RNA
Rfam family: Bacterial small subunit ribosomal RNA
Source: RNAcentral